This 722-nucleotide ribosomal RNA is filed under the name Umbelopsis ramanniana. RNAcentral describes it as "eukaryotic LSU rRNA". It matches the Rfam family "Eukaryotic large subunit ribosomal RNA", at positions 23 to 667 of the family's 3401-position model. The record is from RNAcentral. Lineage: Eukaryota; Fungi; Mucoromycota; Umbelopsidomycetes; Umbelopsidales; Umbelopsidaceae.
ACCCGCUGAACUUAAGCAUAUCAAUAAGCGGAGGAAAAGAAACUAACGAGGAUUCCCUCAGUAACGGCGAGUGAAGCGGGAAGAGCUCAAAUUUAAAAUCUGGUUUGCUUGCAAGCCCGAGUUGUAGUCUGAAGAAACGUUUUCCAUAAGCACUGAGGCAAAAGUCCCUUGGAACAGGGCAUCAUAGAGGGUGAGAAUCCCGUCCAUGGUCUCAAGUUGUUUAUUUUGUGAUACGUUUUCAAAGAGUCAGGUUGUUUGGGAAUGCAGCCUAAAAUGGGUGGUAAAUUUCAUCUAAAGCUAAAUAUUGGCGAGAGACCGAUAGCGAACAAGUACCGUGAGGGAAAGAUGAAAAGAACUUUGAAAAGAGAGUUAAACAGUACGUGAAAUUGUUGAAAGGGAACCGUUUGAAGCCAGUCUUACUUGCCUGUGAUCAAUUUUUGCUUCGGCAUGAAUGCACUCUCGGGUAUGGUAGGCCAACGACAGUUUGGAAUGCGAGAAAAAAAUAGAGGAAAUGUGGCCUUCGGGUGUUAUAGUCCUUUGUAAAAUAUCGUGUUCUGGACUGAGGAUCGCAGCAAAAACGUGGGCAGGUGGAUUUCUGUGGUAACUGUCGAUUAGGACAACUUGUUGACCUAGUCUUCCUUAGCCUCACUAUUUACCUUGCUUCUAAUUUGCUUAGGUCGUUGGCAUAAUGGCUUUAAAUGACCCGUCUUGAAACACGGACC